GUGAUGCAACACAUGUUGUUAAACGCGUAAAAACAGGCUCAAUGGUCAGCUUUCUUUUUUGCAGAAGAGGUUAAAGCAGCAAAAGGAAACAAAGAUUAACCUCUACAUUAAGUAAAACAACCACGCUCAACGAGGUAACGAGCCUGGAGGAGCCCACAGUGCGGCAACGGAACUUCACAAAGAAAGAAAAGCUACGAACUGGUAACAGCAAAAUGAGCCAAGAGAAGAAAUAUCAGAUAACAGGAAUGUUGUAGUCUUUGCUAGAUGGCACUCAAAAAGAAAGAUAAGUAUGCUUUGUGUCAUAGACUACUUCGUUUGAACUGUUGUUGAAUCCUAUCGGACUUUUUGAGGCAAACUGAAUCAGAAUAGCGGACAACGAGACGCAAGAAAGAGAACAGGAAAAUGACUGCAGUACCGAUGGUGUCCAGAAGAGGGCGCCAAAGUACACGGAAAAAGGGCUGGAAGACCGACUGCACAGGCAAAUGAAUGCAAGAAGAGCAAAAUUGGCUCAAGUCACUGCCAAAAUGAACAAGAUAAGUGAGAAAAAUGGGAAAUGUAUUGAUGGGUGAUUCAUGUUGAAACCUGAAGUCUUAUUCUGGAGGGGACCGGAAAUGAAGCGCUUCUGACUACGCAACUCAGUGUGAAGCUUUGCUGUAAUUCCUGGCAGACAGCCUGUGAUCCGCCCCAAACUCCACCUUGUUUCUUGGACAGCUCCUCUUCAUCCCACCUGGUCUUCAGUCACCUCUGACCCGUGGU
This is a long non-coding RNA of Thalassophryne amazonica, 756 nucleotides long. RefSeq lists it as uncharacterized. The transcript has 3 exons. The record is from RefSeq and is a predicted model, not a curated record. NCBI's taxonomy places the organism in Eukaryota, Metazoa, Chordata, Actinopteri, Batrachoidiformes, Batrachoididae.